This 735-nucleotide ribosomal RNA is filed under the name uncultured bacterium. RNAcentral describes it as "bacterial SSU rRNA". It matches the Rfam family "Bacterial small subunit ribosomal RNA", at positions 95 to 856 of the family's 1533-position model. The record is from RNAcentral.
GUGGCGAACGGGGGAAUAACACGUGGGUGACCUGCCCCGCAUUUCGGGAUAAGCUUGGGGAAACUGGGUCUAAUACCGGAUAGGACCGCACCGUGAGGGUGUGGUGGAAAGUUUUUCGGUGUGGGAUGGGCCCGCGGCCUAUCAGCUUGUUGGGGGGGUAAUGGCCUACCAAGGCGGCGACGGGUAGCCGGCCUGAGAGGGUGGACGGCCACAUUGGGACUGAGACACGGUCCAGACUCCUACGGGAGGCAGCAGUGGGGAAUAUUGCACAAUGGAGGAAACUCUGAUGCAGCGACGCCGCGUGAGCGAAGAAGGCCUUCGGGUUGUAAAGCUCUGUCCUUGGUGAAGAUAAUGACGGUAGCCAAGGAAGAAGCCCCGGCUAACUACGUGCCAGCAGCCGCGGUAAUACGUAGGGGGCGAGCGUUGUCCGGAAUUAUUGGGCGUAAAGGGUUCGUAGGCGGUAAUACAUGUCAGAUGUGAAAUCUUGUGGCUUAACCACAUCAAGCAUCUGAAACUGUAUAACUUGAGUGGAGGAGAGGUAAGUGGAAUUCCUAGUGUAGCGGUGAAAUGCGUAGAUAUUAGGAAGAAUACCAGUAGCGAAGGCGACUUACUGGCCUCUAACUGACGCUGAUGAACGAAAGCGUGGGUAGCAAACAGGAUUAGAUACCCUGGUAGUCCACGCUGUAAACGAUGAAUGCUAGGUGUCGGGAGUCGAAUCUCGGUGCCGCAGUUAAC